AGUUUGAUCCUGGCUCAGAUUGAACGCUGGCGGCAUGCUUAACACAUGCAAGUCGAACGUGAAAGAGGGGCAACCCUCAAGUAAAGUGGCGGACUGGUGAGUAAUACGUAGGAAUCUACCUUAGAGUGGGGGAUAACCCGGGGAAACUCGGGCUAAUACCGCAUAGUCUCUAUGGAGUAAAGGUGGCUAGCAAUAGCUAUCGCUUUAGGAUGAGCCUACGCCGGAUUAGUUAGUUGGUAGGGUAAUGGCCUACCAAGGCAACGAUCCGUAGCUGGUCUGAGAGGACGACCAGCCACACUGGGACUGAGAUACGGCCCAGACUCCUACGGGAGGCAGCAGUGGGGAAUAUUGGACAAUGGGCGAAAGCCUGAUCCAGCAAUGCCGCGUGAGUGAAGAAGGCCUUCGGGUUGUAAAGCUCUUUCAGCUGGAACGAAACGGUACGCACUAACAUUGUGUGCUAAUGACGGUACCAGCAGAAGAAGCACCGGCUAACUACGUGCCAGCAGCCGCGGUAAUACGUAGGGUGCGAGCGUUAAUCGGAAUUACUGGGCGUAAAGCGUGCGCAGGCGGAUUGUUAAGCAAGACGUGAAAUCCCCGGGCUUAACCUGGGAAUGGCGUUUUGAACUGGCAGUCUAGAGUGUGUCAGAGGGGGGUAGAAUUCCACGUGUAGCAGUGAAAUGCGUAGAGAUGUGGAGGAAUACCAAUGGCGAAGGCAGCCCCCUGGGAUAACACUGACGCUCAUGUACGAAAGCGUGGGUAGCAAACAGGAUUAGAUACCCUGGUAGUCCACGCCCUAAACGAUGUCAACUGGUUGUUGGGGGAGUGAAAUCCCUUAGUAACGAAGCUAACGCGUGAAGUUGACCGCCUGGGGAGUACGGUCGCAAGAUUAAAACUCAAAGGAAUUGACGGGGACCCGCACAAGCGGUGGAUGAUGUGGAUUAAUUCGAUGCAACGCGAAAAACCUUACCUACCCUUGACAUGUCCAGAACCCUGAAGAGAUUUGGGGGUGCCCGAAAGGGAAUUGGAACACAGGUGCUGCAUGGCUGUCGUCAGCUCGUGUCGUGAGAUGUUGGGUUAAGUCCCGCAACGAGCGCAACCCUUAUCAUUAGUUGCUACGCAAGGGCACUCUAAUGAGACUGCCGGUGACAAACCGGAGGAAGGUGGGGAUGACGUCAAGUCCUCAUGGCCCUUAUGGGUAGGGCUUCACACGUCAUACAAUGGUCGGUACAGAGGGUUGCCAAGCCGCGAGGUGGAGCCAAUCCCAGAAAGCCGAUCGUAGUCCGGAUUGUUCUCUGCAACUCGAGAGCAUGAAGUCGGAAUCGCUAGUAAUCGCGGAUCAGCAUGUCGCGGUGAAUACGUUCCCGGGUCUUGUACACACCGCCCGUCACACCAUGGGAGUGGAAUCUGGCAGAAGUAGGUAGCCUAACCGCAAGGAGGGCGCUUACCACGCUGGGUUUCAUGACUGGGGUGAAGUCGUAACAAGGUAACC
This 1489-nucleotide ribosomal RNA is filed under the name uncultured bacterium. RNAcentral's name for it is "bacterial SSU rRNA". It matches the Rfam family "Bacterial small subunit ribosomal RNA". The record is from RNAcentral.